RNAcentral lists this ribosomal RNA (243 nucleotides) under uncultured bacterium. RNAcentral's name for it is "partial 16S ribosomal RNA". It matches the Rfam family "Bacterial small subunit ribosomal RNA", at positions 1257 to 1500 of the family's 1533-position model. The record is from RNAcentral.
GCGAGGCAGAGCGAACCCCAAAAAGCCGUCCCAGUUCGGAUCGCAGGCUGCAACCCGCCUGCGUGAAGUCGGGAUCGCUAGUAAUCGCGGAUCAGCAUGCCGCGGUGAAUACGUUCCCGGGCCUUGUACACACCGCCCGUCACACCAUGAGAGUCGGGAACACCCGAAGUCCGUAGCCUAACCGCAAGGGGGGCGCGGCCGAAGGUGGGUUCGAUAAUUGGGGUGAAGUCGUAACAAGGUACC